UGAGUAGAGCGGCGGACGGGUGAGUAACGCGUAGGAAUCUACCUGGUAGUGGGGGACAACUUGGGGAAACUCAAGCUAAUACCGCAUACGCCCUAAGGGGGAAAGCGGGGGACCUUCGGGCCUCGCGCUAUCGGAUGAGCCUGCGUAGGAUUAGCUAGUUGGUGGGGUAAAGGCCCACCAAGGCGACGAUCCUUAGCUGGUCUGAGAGGAUGAUCAGCCACACUGGAACUGAGACACGGUCCAGACUCCUACGGGAGGCAGCAGUGGGGAAUAUUGCGCAAUGGGCGGAAGCCUGACGCAGCCAUGCCGCGUGUGUGAAGAAGGCCUUAGGGUUGUAAAGCACUUUCAAUUGGGAAGAAAAGUUUGUCGUUAAUAGCGCCAAGCUCUGACAUUACCUUUAGAAGAAGCACCGGCUAACUCCGUGCCAGCAGCCGCGGUAAUACGGAGGGUGCGAGCGUUAAUCGGAAUUACUGGGCGUAAAGCGCGCGUAGGCGGUUUGUUAAGUCAGCUGUGA
This 514-nucleotide ribosomal RNA is filed under the name uncultured Haliea sp. RNAcentral describes it as "bacterial SSU rRNA". It matches the Rfam family "Bacterial small subunit ribosomal RNA", at positions 87 to 597 of the family's 1533-position model. Lineage: Bacteria; Pseudomonadati; Pseudomonadota; Gammaproteobacteria; Cellvibrionales; Halieaceae. The record is from RNAcentral.